AUGGCAAGUCGGGACUGAAAGCCCGGGGCCCAACCCCGGGACUGCUCCCCCAACUGCCAUGCUAGAGAGCANNNCCACACCCCACCAUUCCUAGUGUAGCGGUGAAAGGGGGGGAUUUUUGGGAAAGCUCCUGUGGCGCGGGCGGCUUCCUGGCCCGUGNCUGNCGUUGCCGCUCGNNAGCGGGGGGGGCCUUUUAAGUAGAACCCCAAAAAAACCACAAAANAAGGAGCCUUAUGAGGUGUCGGGGGGGCAAAGCCCAUCGGUGCCGCCGCAAACGCAAUAAGUAUCCCACCUGGGGAGUACGUUCGCAAGAAUGAAACUCAAAGGAAUUGACGGGGACCCGCACAAGCGGUGGAGCAUGUGGUUUAAUCCGAAGCAACGCGAAGAACCUUACCAAGUCUUGACAUCCCCCUGAUCGGUCCGUAACGGGGCCUUUCUUACGGGACAGGGGAGACAGGUGGUGCAUGGUUGUCGUCAGCUCGUGUCGUGAGAUGUUGGGUUAAGUCCCGCAACGAGCGCAACCCUUAUCCUCAGUAGCCAGCAGGUAGAGCUGGGCACUCUGUGGAGACUGCCAGGGGCAACCUGGAGGAAGGUGGGGAUGACGUCAAAUCAUCAUGCCCCUUAUGAUUUGGGCUACACACGUGCUACAAUGGCGUAGACAGAGGGAAGCGAGAGGGAGACCUGGAGCGAACCCCAAAAAAGACGUCCCAGUUCGGACUGUGGUCUGCAACCCGACCACACGAAGCUGGAAUCGCUAGUAAUCG
Molecule: ribosomal RNA, 764 nt
Filed under: uncultured bacterium
Lineage: Bacteria
Description: partial 16S ribosomal RNA
Rfam family: Bacterial small subunit ribosomal RNA
Source: RNAcentral